This 76-nucleotide transfer RNA is filed under the name Bacilli bacterium. RNAcentral's name for it is "tRNA-Ala". It matches the Rfam family "tRNA". From Rfam's summary of the family: Transfer RNA (tRNA) molecules are approximately 80 nucleotides in length. Their secondary structure includes four short double-helical elements and three loops (D, anti-codon, and T loops). Lineage: Bacteria; Bacillati; Bacillota; Bacilli. RNAcentral also lists the same sequence under 2 other names. The record is from RNAcentral.
GGGGUCUUAGCUCAGCUGGGAGAGCACCUGCCUUGCACGCAGGGGGUCAGGGGUUCGAUCCCCCUAGGCUCCACCA